CAGAUGUCCAGGAACCCGGGUUGUCCAUUCAAAUUGGUAUCCUGGAACUGGCAGAGGAAGACUGGUCCAGACUGGUAGCUUUAUCUCUGCUCUUCCAGCUGAUGAAGGAAGUGGAGCAGCAGCUCUGGGAUGGUGUCAGAGAUAGAGGCCAGCUCAAGAUUCAGCCCCCAGAGGUUGCAGUCGGUGGGUGGCCUGUCUCUGCUGCUGAUGCACUGUGCUGCACACAUUUCCACCAACAAUAUGAGGACCGACUCCACUAAUGCCUUCCAGAGGGCCUUCUUCAAACUACUACAUGCAACCACCACAGCUUGACCGAAUGUGCUAACAGAAUUAAAGGAUUAAUUCACCCCAAAAUUAUGAAAAUUCUGUCAUUACUCACCCUAAGUGAGUCACUCCAGAGCUGUAUGAC
Molecule: long non-coding RNA, 409 nt
Organism: Xyrauchen texanus (razorback sucker)
Lineage: Eukaryota; Metazoa; Chordata; Actinopteri; Cypriniformes; Catostomidae
Exons: 3
Source: RefSeq, a predicted model, not a curated record